CUUCUUUCCCUUUCUCUAGCUCUUGGCUCCUCUGUGGUAGGUCAGAAGGGGAAUGCAGAGAUGCCACCUCCUGAGGGAUAAUAACUGUCCGAAAUUGAGGUCACGGAGGAGCUCUGCAUUUUAAAAUUGAAUGCUGUUCGUCUUACUUGUUACUGGAAAAAUGGAAUUGCCCUUAGCUGAUAUGAAAAAUACAAUGAUUGGAGCAGAUUUGGUAUGUGUAAAUGGAUGGUGGUGGUGAGUGGGCGGGCAGGGAAUUGAGAGUUCAUUUUUAUAGAGGUUGAGAUGAAUAUUUGAUAUCCAAAUAUAAACGUUGAUUAGGCAAUUUUAACC
RNAcentral lists this long non-coding RNA (330 nucleotides) under Callithrix jacchus (white-tufted-ear marmoset). Its description in RNAcentral is "lncRNA (ENSCJAG00000075588.1)". Lineage: Eukaryota; Metazoa; Chordata; Mammalia; Primates; Cebidae. The record is from RNAcentral.